RNAcentral lists this ribosomal RNA (253 nucleotides) under uncultured bacterium. Its description in RNAcentral is "partial 16S ribosomal RNA". It matches the Rfam family "Bacterial small subunit ribosomal RNA", at positions 524 to 776 of the family's 1533-position model. The record is from RNAcentral.
UACGGGGGGGGCAAGCGUUGUUCGGAAUUACUGGGCGUAAAGGGCUCGUAGGCGGCCAUCUAAGUCAGACGUGAAAUCCCUCGGCUCAACCGAGGAACUGCGUCUGAUACUGGAAGGCUUGAAUCCGGGAGAGGGAUGUGGAAUUCCAGGUGUAGCGGUGAAAUGCGUAGAUAUCUGGAGGAACACCGGUGGCGAAGGCGGCAUCCUGGACCGGUAUUGACGCUGAGGCGCGAAAGCUAGGGGAGCAAACGGG